GUGCACAGUGAACACCCAAGUGUGCUUCAUAAGUUCCCUUGGUCUUAAUUCUGUGCUAGAAUAAUCUGUGCUUUUCCUCUGCAUUAGAAGGAGCAUCUUCCUUUUACAUGUAUUCAAAAGGACAGUACAUUU
Small nucleolar RNA from Crocodylus porosus (Australian saltwater crocodile), 132 nucleotides. NCBI's taxonomy places the organism in Eukaryota, Metazoa, Chordata, Crocodylia, Crocodylidae. The record is from Ensembl.